GACGAACGCUGGCGGCGUGCUUAACACAUGCAAGUCGAACGGAAAGGCCCUGCUUUUGUGGGGUGCUCGAGUGGCGAACGGGUGAGUAACACGUGAGUAACCUGCCCUUGACUUUGGGAUAACUUCAGGAAACUGGGGCUAAUACCGGAUAGGAGCUCCUGCUGCAUGGGGGGGGUUGGAAAGUUUGGGCGGUUGGGGAUGUACUCGGGGCUUAUCAGCUUGUUGGUGGGGUAGUGGCUUACCAAGGCUUUGACGGGUAGCCGGCCUGAGAGGGGGACCGGCCACAUUGGGACUGAGGUACGGCCCAGACUCGUACGGGAGGCAGCAGGGGGGAAUCUUGCACAAUGGGCGGAAGCCUGAUGAAGAAACGCCGCGUGCGGGAUGACGGCCUUCGGGUUGUAAACCGCAUUCGCCUGUGACGAAGCGUGAGUGACGGUAAUGGGUAAAGAAGCACCGGCUAACUACGUG
This 468-nucleotide ribosomal RNA is filed under the name uncultured bacterium. RNAcentral describes it as "partial 16S ribosomal RNA". It matches the Rfam family "Bacterial small subunit ribosomal RNA", at positions 28 to 507 of the family's 1533-position model. The record is from RNAcentral.